UUUGAAGUCUGGCCUGCCCAAUGAUAAUUGUUAAAUGGCCGCAGUAUUCUGACUGUGCAAAGGUAGCAUAAUCAUUAGUUUUUUAAUUAAAAGCUGGUAUGAAUGGUUUGAUGAGAAAAGAUCUGUCUCAUAAUUAUUGAUUUAAAAAUUUAUUUUUAAGUUAAAAAGCUUAAAUGUUUUAAAAAGACGAGAAGACCCUAUAGAGUUUCAUAUUUAUUUAUAAAAUUUUAUUUUGGAUUUAUAUUUAUUUUUGUGAGUUUAAAUAUUUCAUUGGGGUGAUGUAAAAAUUUAGUUAACUUUUUAUAGUAAAAACAUAAAUGAAUGGUUUCAUGAUCCUUUAUUAGGAUUAAUAGAAAAAAUUACCUUAGGGAUAACAGCGUAAUUUUUUUUGAGAGUUCUUAUCGAAAAAAGAGAUUGCGACCUCGAUGUUGGAUUAAAAUUAAUUUUUGGUGCAGAAGCUUAAAAAUUAGGUCUGUUCGACCUUUAAAAUUUUACAUGAUCUGAGUUUAAACCGGCGUGAGCCAGGUUGGUUUCUAUCUUUUAAUUAUUAAAAUGUUUCAGUACGAAAGGACCAUACAUUAAAAUUAUAUUUUAUUUUUUGAAUUAUGUUAUUAUUUUGGCAGAUUAGUGCAAUAAAUUUAGAAUUUAUAUAUGUAGGUUGAUUACAAAUAAUAUUGCUUUUUUGAGAUUUGUUGACAGUUUUUGUUUC
Molecule: ribosomal RNA, 709 nt
Filed under: Verodes sp. nov. B ER-2011
Lineage: Eukaryota; Metazoa; Arthropoda; Insecta; Coleoptera; Zopheridae
Description: partial 16S ribosomal RNA
Rfam family: Bacterial large subunit ribosomal RNA (bases 1-564)
Source: RNAcentral